ACAUCGCCUCUUGUCCAUUUAAAUAUAAGAGGUCCCGCCUGCCCCGUGACUAUAUGUUUAACGGCUGCGGUAUUUUGACCGUGCAAAGGUAGCGUAAUCACUUGUCUUUUAAAUGAAGACCUGUAUGAAUGGCACAACGAGGGCCUAACUGUCUCCUUUUUCCAGUCAAUGAAAUUGAUCUUCCCGUGCAGAAGCGGGAAUACUAACAUAAGACGAGAAGACCCUAUGGAGCUUUAGACACCAGAACAGCCCAUGCUAAACAUUCCCUAAACAGGGGAAAAAACCAAUUGGCCUCCUGCUCUAAUGUCUUUGGUUGGGGCGACCGCGGGGAAAUAAAAAACCCCCAUGUGGACUGGGAGCACAUUAUCCCCUACAACCCAGAGUCACACCUCCAAGCAACAGAAUUUCUGACCAACAAGACCCGGCACAUAGCCGAUCAACGGACCGAGUUACCCUAGGGAUAACAGCGCAAUCCUCUUUUAGAGCCCCUAUCGACAAGAGGGUUUACGACCUCGAUGUUGGAUCAGGACAUCCUAAUGGU
Molecule: ribosomal RNA, 541 nt
Filed under: Steatocranus glaber
Lineage: Eukaryota; Metazoa; Chordata; Actinopteri; Cichliformes; Cichlidae
Description: partial 16S ribosomal RNA
Rfam family: Bacterial large subunit ribosomal RNA
Source: RNAcentral